GAUGAACGCUGGCGGCGUGCCUAAUACAUGCAAGUCGAGCGAACGGACGAGAAGCUUGCUUCUCUGAUGUUAGCGGCGGACGGGUGAGUAACACGUGGAUAACCUACCUAUAAGACUGGGAUAACUUCGGGAAACCGUAGCUAAUACCGGAUAAUAUUUUGAACCGCAUGGUUCAAUAGUGAAAGACGGUUUUGCUGUCACUUAUAGAUGGAUCCGCGCUGCAUUAGCUAGUUGGUAAGGUAACGGCUUACCAAGGCAACGAUGCAUAGCCGACCUGAGAGGGUGAUCGGCCACACUGGAACUGAGACACGGUCCAGACUCCUACGGGAGGCAGCAGUAGGGAAUCUUCCGCAAUGGGCGAAAGCCUGACGGAGCAACGCCGCGUGAGUGAUGAAGGUCUUCGGAUCGUAAAACUCUGUUAUUAGGGAAGAACAUAUGUGUAAGUAACUGUGCACAUCUUGACGGUACCUAAUCAGAAAGCCACGGCUAACUACGUG
RNAcentral lists this ribosomal RNA (497 nucleotides) under uncultured bacterium. RNAcentral describes it as "partial 16S ribosomal RNA". It matches the Rfam family "Bacterial small subunit ribosomal RNA", at positions 28 to 507 of the family's 1533-position model. The record is from RNAcentral.